This 497-nucleotide ribosomal RNA is filed under the name uncultured bacterium. Its description in RNAcentral is "partial 16S ribosomal RNA". It matches the Rfam family "Bacterial small subunit ribosomal RNA", at positions 28 to 507 of the family's 1533-position model. The record is from RNAcentral.
GAUGAACGCUGGCGGCGUGCCUAAUACAUGCAAGUCGAGCGAACAGACGAGGAGCUUGCUCCUCUGACGUUAGCGGCGGACGGGUGAGUAACACGUGGAUAACCUACCUAUAAGACUGGGAUAACUUCGGGAAACCGGAGCUAAUACCGGAUAAUAUAUUGAACCGCAUGGUUCAAUAGUGAAAGACGGUUUUGCUGUCACUUAUAGAUGGAUCCGCGCCGCAUUAGCUAGUUGGUAAGGUAACGGCUUACCAAGGCAACGAUGCGUAGCCGACCUGAGAGGGUGAUCGGCCACAAUGGAACUGAGACACGGUCCAGACGCCUACGGGAGGCAGCAGUGGGGAAUCUUCCGCAAUGGGCGAAAGCCUGACGGAGCAACGCCGCGUGAGUGAUGAAGGUCUUCGGAUCGUAAAACUCUGUUAUUAGGGAAGAACAAAUGUGUAAGUAACUAUGCACGUCUUGACGGUACCUAAUCAGAAAGCAACGGCUAACUACGUG